This is a long non-coding RNA of Mytilus californianus (California mussel), 1271 nucleotides long. RefSeq lists it as uncharacterized. The record is from RefSeq and is a predicted model, not a curated record. The transcript has 3 exons. Lineage: Eukaryota; Metazoa; Mollusca; Bivalvia; Mytilida; Mytilidae.
UGGUUGUCGUUUGUUCAUUAGUGUUUCUCGUAUUUCGUUUUUUUCUAUAUAGAUUAGACCGUUGGUUUUUCCGUUUUAAUGGUUUUACCCUUACCAUUUUGGGCCCUUUAUAGCUUGCUGCUCGGUGUGAGCUAAGGCUCUUUGUUGAAGAAGUUCUUUGACCUGAAUGGUUUACUUUUACAAAUUGUGGCUUGGAUAGAGAGUCAUCUCAUUAGCACUCAUGUCAUAUCUUCUUAUAUCUAUUUACAAUAUCUAGUGAAUUAGUGUGUUUCACAAAGCAAAGCGCGCGAACUCGUCCAUACCUACAAAUGCUGGAUUAUUUAGGUUAAAAGAAACUUUGUACAUAAAUCAGGCAGCCAAUCAACAACACGUCAAGAGUACACACGCUGAAAUGUCUCACCUGCUUCACGAUCUAUGUUUGGUUGUAUGUGGAUAGUCAUAAAGAUAAAGUUUUACUACAAGUAUCUUAUAAACUUAACAUUAAGGAGUUUGACUACAGUGUCAGAACAGUACAAAGAAUUUCACCACAAGAUAUCAGGCAUCAAAUGUUUGCAUCUGUCCUAAGUCAGGAAUCUGGUGUACAGUAGUUGUCGUCUGUUUAUGUAGUUCAUACAUUUAGGAAGAAGGUACCAAGAGAAUAACAAAGAAGGAGGAAAACGACAAACAGACGAUCAACAUUCCUGUAACUGUAUACAAUCGCAGAAAAAUAAAUAAAAAAUAGCAGUCAUUGACAACACGAAUCCCGCGGAAAUCUGGAGAUGAUCUUGUGUGCUUCAAAAUUGAAAAUAGACCAUUACCAUAUAACCAAUUUUUCGAAUCCAAUUUAGCUGAAUAUUGAGUUAAAGGUGUAUAACAUUUAAAACAUUUAUGCAAGCUGUUUUCGGCUCAUUAAAAAAUUCAGUCUCAUUGAAAUAAAUAAAAUAUGAUCCGCAAUAACAUUAACACAUUAUCACCUAAUCCGAAACGUUUCAGCUCUGUUUAAUGAACGGUAGUUCAUGUAUAAAUAGUAUAUCGAAAUUAAAAGACGCUACUGCAAAGAUGUGAUGCACUAUUGUGUUGCUCUUUAUUGACUUAUGCAUGUUUCUGAUUUCCCCCGCCCCCCUUUUGGAUUUUUUUCUCCUCAUUUGUACCUGACCAUAAUUGAAUCUAUAUUAUAACACCGCCACGGCUGUCUCGUGGUAGCAUUUUCCUUCGUGUGUUGGAGCUCGUGGUUUCGAUAACUGUCAGGGUCAAACCAUAUUUGUUUGUUUGAAUUGUUUCACAUUUUUUAU